RNAcentral lists this ribosomal RNA (294 nucleotides) under Prasinococcus capsulatus. RNAcentral describes it as "partial Bacterial large subunit ribosomal RNA". It matches the Rfam family "Bacterial large subunit ribosomal RNA", at positions 1 to 309 of the family's 2925-position model. The record is from RNAcentral. Lineage: Eukaryota; Viridiplantae; Prasinodermophyta; Palmophyllophyceae; Prasinococcales; Prasinococcaceae.
CAAAUAAAAAAGGGCUUUUGACGGAUACCUAGGUAUUUAGAGGCGAUGAAGGACGUAGUUACCGACGAUAUUCUUUGAGGAGCUGGAAACAAGCUAUGAUUCAAAGGUCUCCGAAUAGAGCAAUCUAGAAAACUUCUUUUUGAAAUCAAAUAGAAAAGAAAGAGCAAACCUGGUGAAUUGAAACAUCUUAGUAGCCAGAGGAAAAGAAAGCAACAGCGAUUUCCUUAGUAGCGGCGAGCGAAACGGAACAAGUCUAAACUUUUUCAAAUUAUAGAAAAAGGGUUGUGGGAACUU